Molecule: ribosomal RNA, 468 nt
Filed under: uncultured bacterium
Lineage: Bacteria
Description: partial 16S ribosomal RNA
Rfam family: Bacterial small subunit ribosomal RNA
Source: RNAcentral
GACGAACGCUGGCGGCGUGCUUAACACAUGCAAGUCGAACGGAAAGGCCCUGCUCUUGUGGGGUGCUCGAGUGGCGAACGGGUGAGUAACACGUGAGUAACCUGCCCUUGACUUUGGGAUAACUUCAGGAAACUGGGGCUAAUACCGGAUAGGAUCUCCUGCUGCAUGGGGGGGGUUGGAAAGUUUCGGCGGUAGGGGAUGGCUUCGCGGCUUAUCAGCUUGUUGGUGGGGUAGUGGCUUACCAAGGCUUUGACGGGUAGCCGGCCUGAGAGGGUGGCCGGCCACAUUGGGACUGAGAUACGGCGCAGACUCCUACGGGAGGCAGCAGUGGGGAAUAUUGCACAAUGGGCGGAAGCCUGAUGCAGCAACGCCGCGUGCGGGAUGACGGCCUUCGGGUUGUAAACCGAUUUCGCCUGUGACGAAGCGUGAGUGACGGUAAUGGGUAAAGAAGCACCGGCUAACUACGUG